Molecule: non-coding RNA, 3534 nt
Organism: Bactrocera oleae (olive fruit fly)
Lineage: Eukaryota; Metazoa; Arthropoda; Insecta; Diptera; Tephritidae
Source: RefSeq, a predicted model, not a curated record
AAUACAAAACAAAAUAAAAUUUUACAAAAUCCAAAAAAAAAUCCUACAAAAUUUUUUUUAAUAAAAAUGAAGUGCGGCACGCCACUUCUAUUAACCCUAUUUUUUGCUACUAUUUGCCUACAGUUUAGCGCUGGAGUGGCUGCUGAAAACAAAACUGUUACUUCCAGCCCCGUCGGCGACAUCGAAACAGAUGCCGAUUACGCAAAAGAUGACUACUAUUACGAUGAUGAGACGGACGCGGACGGAGGCGAUGUGGACAAUGAAUAUAUUGAUGAUGAGGAAGAUGUCGGCGAAGAAUACAAGAAUGAUGUGGCGAACGAGGCGGCGGAAAUAAAAGCAGCAGAGCUCCGAGUGGAUCCACCCUAUUUUGAGCAAGCGGAAGUCAAUAUUUACACACGACCCGGAGAAAAUCUACUACUCGACUGCGCGCCGAAGGAUAUACAUCCAAACAAUGUGAUCAUGUGGUAUAAGGGUAAAAUUGUGAUAGCAACCGGGCAAUUCGUUAUGGACCCCAAUGUGGAUGUGCUCAAGAAUAACUCACUGGUGGUUAAGAAUGUGACCUCUAAAGAUGCUGGCGACUAUUACUGUGAAGUGCUGCCUGAGAAGGUGCGCAUGCAUGCGCUGGUCGAAGUCGAUGAGAGCCUAAUGAUAUUCUGUGAUGGACAUGAGGUCACCAAUGAGACUUUGGUAUUUGUCCAGGGUGAACCACAUGUAUGUAUAUGCAAAUACUAUUCGCUGGAAAAUGUGCCGAUCAAAUGGUUUAUCGAUGGCAAACGUGCUGAAAGCUUGGUCGAACGAGUUCUUGGCGAGCAGCUCUAUAUUGACAAUGUGGAUACAAAACAUGGUGGCAUUUAUCAGUGCCUAGCCGAUGAUCUCUCACAGGAACCGCCGCACGCCAUGAUCGUCGUGGAUGUUGUAUAUGUGCCAAAGGUCUCCACUUAUCGGCAUUAUGUCAAUACGGAACAGGGUAGCAAAGCAGAGCUGUAUUGUGACUAUUCGGCAAACCCGAGCGGUGAAGUAUUAUGGCUUCGUAACGGUAAAAAACUGAAUAACUCCAAUAAAUUUACAUUUAACGAGAUAGCACAUAAAGAACGCAAACGUUCGAUCUUAACAGUUAUGGAUGUGAGCGCUAACGAUCUUGGCGAGUAUAUAUGCCAAGUGCAGAAUGCCAUUGGCCGUGGUGAGACGAAAGUGCAUAUCAUUUAUGAGCCAGAACAUCCACAAUUGGAGGACUUGGAAGUCAAUGGCAACCAAGCGGUGAUACAUUGGUUAGUGCGCAGCAUACAACCGUUAUCGGAGGCAGUAUUGGAUUAUAAACUGGCGGGCUUUUCGGAGCUGGUAUUGUAUGGUACGAGGGCGGUCCAAGUACUUAGUCUACAAAAAAAGAACGACAUUUUUACCUCGUUGAAGUAUCUUGAUUCAAUAAUGUUUAUAGUUCCUUAACCCGCUUGAAAAAUACACAACCUCCUUACGCGAAUAUAUUUUCUGCUCGGCGAAUGCUCAUUUCAAGAUUGGAAACAAAAAGAAGUUGUACGGAGGCAAAUCUGCGGAAUACGGUUGAUUGGACAGCAGCAUGUUGAUUAAUUUAGCUGUGGAGGUAUCAGACGGGGCAUAGAAUAGUAAUAACAAUUAUGUAUGUCUUCACGAAAUAGGACCAUUUUUAGGAAUUAUGUGUCGAACGGGUGCAAUAAUUCGGCACAUUAGGCCUCCGAGACCCCAGAAUACCAUAGAAUGAUGGCUACCCCUUUUCUAGGGUCGUCGGAUAAAAUUCACUUUUCCCUGGUCCUUGGUGUAUACCAUUGGUUCUAUGUUUCGUCGAUGGUCACGAGAAGACGCGAAAACUCAAAAACUGUUUAAGAACUCAUAGUCGCGCUUGUUGUCUGGAGUGUUCAAUAUAUCAUGCGAGAUAAAAUUCAUGCAAUCUUUUGAGAUGCUUACGGUCUCAGCCUCUCAACUCGCGCAACUCCGAGGCGGUGGGUACGUUAUCAUCCGUGGAAGCAGUUUUCCGCGAGCCUGUCAGCGGAACGCCCUCUUAUAUAUACAUAUAUAUAAAGCUUUAGAAGCAAUUGAUACGCGACAUAGUGUAUUUUCAUACGAAGUUUUUUUCCUUUGAUUACUCCUCACUCGAGCAUAGUGGGCUUAAACAAGGUUUCUCCAUCCAAGUAUCUGAUUGUAUUUCGGAGAUGCAAAUUUCCGUAUAAAAAAAUGACGAAUUACGGACAUUACUACAAAUUUGCAAUGCGCUCCAUUUACUUGACGCGGUUCAGCAAAUUGGUCGAGAAUAAAAACGACGGGGCUUUAAGGGUCAUAUUUUAGUUCAAAACUAAAACAAACGUCACACUUGGUGGAAAGAAGAAGUGUAUACAUAACAAAAAUCGAUAUACCAUAAGUGUCACUGAAUAUCAUGUGUCAACAGACUUUGGCUAAGACUACUGAACCUAACCUCUGAACUUACGAGGUAGCUGCAAGUUAAAAUCCAAAUUAUAUUUCCCCAAAAGCCAGCGCGCGCUGACACGGGCGCUGAUUACCAGCCGCAAAACUUUUAUUAUAUAUUGUGAAAGCACCUAACUCAACACCUCAGCCACGUGCACCGCUAUGCAGUACGUGUUGUAUGUAAAUAAGGUGAUUCAAUGUAUCUAUAAACUACUAUCUACUUGAUUGCGCCACUUGGAGACGCGCUGGGCGAUAUCCGCAAACGCAAUUAGGGGUAUUUAAAUUGAAUCACGCAGAGCGGGUUAAGGUUAUCGCAAGAAUUCGACUAAAUCUUUAUCACUAUUUACAUAUUUACAUGUUUGCGACUGUAUACCUGGUAGCCGCUGCUCAUCUGCUUCUAGGAAUCGUACACUUGGAGCAAGGUAUCUGUGGUGCAUACACGCCGCCACGCGGAAAGUCACAUUUGGAAGGUGACUCAUGAGAUGGAACUCACGCCGGGAAGUUGGCAUGUGCGUAUGCGUGCGAAAAAUACCGUUGGCUGGUCGGCAUUUUCUGCGCAGCAUGAUUUCGUAAUUAAAGAUAAUGAAAGUGAUGUGGAUGCGUACGAUGAGCUUGAUGGUGUCGAUGAUGGAGAUAACUUGGAUACAGCUGACGCGCCGAAAAAUAUGAUCGCUGUGGCCAGUUUCGGUGGCGGCGCUAAUGGCGGGGCAGCGUUGCAAAUGUCAAACAAAUUAUUUGCUUUGCUGAGUGCCAGUAGCAUGUAUUUGUUGUUGUUGUUGUCAAUAAAUGGAAUUUUAUAAAAAUUACGAAAGUGUUGAAAUCAACUAGCUGUUAGUUAAGUGUAUGCAUAUAUACAUAGCUAUAUGUUGCGUUAUGUUUAUCUGUGUAAAUAUGUAUGUAUGUAUAAUAAAAACAUAUGCACGUACAUACAUACAUAUGUAAACACAAUAUUUAUUUACAUGAAUAACUGUAUGUUUGUAAAUUUUUGUGUAUUUUUAUUUUAUAAUAUUAUUUAUGUCAAAACUAUUGGUGCCAAACAUAGAAUUAGUCAAACAACACAUACAUAAGCUAUAAAAAAUAAAUGAACGUGUCACAAAUAAA